AUCAUAGAAGUUGAUUCCAUGAUGAACAAGAGAUAACUAUAAUGAAAGAAUUGUGUGUCCAUUCUACAAGACACAUACAUAGUUAUGUAAGUAUGAUCCCUAUUCAGUCCCGGGGCAAAGGCACAUUGAAAGGAACAAUACUUGAGGCAUGCAAUUUGGUCAUGCCAAGGUCACAGUCAUGCAUACAAUGUGAUCCUGAAACUAGAUGUGCACAAUUUAUUUCUUUAAAAUAUACAAACUUUCAGGCUUAUAGAAAUGUUUGUGCAAAGAUUGCCCUUGUAUCAAAACUUGAUGUAUUAGCCUGGUAUAGCAGAAUACACCUUCAGUCCCAGCACUCUGGAGGUUGGAACAGUAGGAUAGCAAGUUCCAGGCUAGCCUGGGGUAUAUAGUGAUGCCCUGUCUCAUAAAACAAGCAAAAAAAAAAAAAAAAAA
RNAcentral lists this long non-coding RNA (432 nucleotides) under Rattus norvegicus (Norway rat). RNAcentral describes it as "long non-coding RNA NONRATT012447". Lineage: Eukaryota; Metazoa; Chordata; Mammalia; Rodentia; Muridae. The record is from RNAcentral.